GACGAACGCUGGCGGCGUGCUUAACACAUGCAAGUCGAACGGAAAGGCCCUGCUUUUGUGGGGUGCUCGAGUGGCGAACGGGUGAGUAACACGUGAGUAACCUGCCCUUGACUUUGGGAUAACUUCAGGUAACUGGGGCUAAUACCGGAUAGGAGCUCCUGCUGCAUUGUGGGGGUUGGAAAGUUUCGGCGGUUGGGGAUGGACUCGCGGCUUAUCAGCUUGUUGGUGGGGUAGUGGCUUACCCAGGCUUUGACGGGUAGCCGGCCUGAGAGGGUGACCGGCCACAUUGGGACUGAGAUACGGCCCAGACUCCUACGGGAGGCAGCAGUGGGGAAUAUUGCACAAUGGGCGGAAGCCUGAUGCAGCAACGCCGCGUGCGGGAUGACGGCCUUCGGGUUGUAAACCGCUUUCGCCUGUGACGAAGCGUGAGUGACGGUAAUGGGUAAAGAAGCACCGGCUAACUACGUG
Molecule: ribosomal RNA, 468 nt
Filed under: uncultured bacterium
Lineage: Bacteria
Description: partial 16S ribosomal RNA
Rfam family: Bacterial small subunit ribosomal RNA
Source: RNAcentral